Molecule: non-coding RNA, 3154 nt
Organism: Salmo salar (Atlantic salmon)
Lineage: Eukaryota; Metazoa; Chordata; Actinopteri; Salmoniformes; Salmonidae
Source: RefSeq, a predicted model, not a curated record
CACUGUAGAUGUGUCCAUUUGUUUACUGAUCUCAGUCUGAUUUCACAUGAACAGUUGAUUGAGCAGGAUCAGCUCUUGCCAUCUGUAAGAUAGUUCUACUGGUAAACUUGGCCCUGCACCGCCUCUGUCCGUGUACUGUUUCUUCUUUCUUUGCUGUGUGUUUAGACUUUAGAUGGUUGAUAGUUGUCUCUCCAGUUCCUCAGCUGGCAUCUGAAUGGGCACCUGGUAUUGUUUCUUUAUGCAAAUACUCCCAGUGCAACACACACCACGAUGUGAAUGUUUUAGAGUUAAAAUAUGCAGAAUUGUUAUGUUCAUUGAAAAUGAACCCAUGUGUCCAUGUUUCUGACAGUGGGGUUGGCACAAGAGCUAGUUUGAUUGGUUUGUCUAAAUAGAAGAAUGUCAGACAAUGUGCGCAUUUGUGACUUUAUUUUGCCUGUCUUUUACGAGUUCCCCGGAGAAUUAAGGGUGUGACCAGGUGAGAGAGAUGGUAUGUGUGUGACGGAGAGAGUUUUACUUUAUGAUUGAGAGAGAGAGAGCUGUGACCUACUGUGAACAGCAGCACGUACACCUGGAUGUGCAGAAAGACAGAGUGUAAUGAGGUAAGGCCAAACACCCCCAUCUCAGCUUGAAACAGGAAUGUAAACUUUUCAUCUGGGGGUGAGGGUAGUGGGGAAGCUGUCUGUCUUCUGGCUGCACCCCAUAGUCCUUUCUUUGAUCUUCUCUUUUCUUCUCUCAGUCCUAAAUUCUAAUUUGAUGCACAGAUGUUAUUUUAUGUUCCUGUCUGAUCCAUUUAUUUCCCAUUCAUAAAUCAAUGAGUAGAUAUUGGAGUAGACAACCAUUAUAUGUCAAAGGCAAGGCCUGGUAAUAACUUUUCAAAGGUAACCAUGUGUCUCUUUCUCCCUGUGAUUAAUAUGUCACAGAGCAGUGAGCACCUUAGCACGGAAGGACAUUUUGAUCUUAUUCUACACUUGACAAAAUGAAAAUAAAAUAUUUUGUUUCUUUCAAUUAAAUCAACAGACUAACUUCAAAAUCAUUCAAUGCGCUAAUAAAAAAUGCUCUUAUCACAAUUGAACAUUGUUUGUAACAAGGUAUAUAGCUAACGUUGCAUGACUUUGUUACAAAGGUAACAAUAUGGGCUUUAUACCAUGGUUUAUGGCGCGACUACGUGGAGACAGUUGGUACUUCCGUAAUUUUGGUUUGGCACUUUCACCAAAACCCAGCCUUAAUCCCAACAUUGAUGAUUGGUUACUAAUCACGAAAGUCCCCCUCCGUCAACAUGAUUGGCAUCCCAAAGCCUUUCUUUCUGUUACGACGUCUUAGAAAUGUGCUACCCAAUUGGUCAACCUAAAUAUCCACCCGACAUUUUAACGACAUGACUAGGUUCACUGUGUUUGUGGGCGGGUAUAAACUGCCAGAACUGGGCGUAGCAGGAGCUGUGACAUCGUUCACUGAGAUUAUACAGCACAUGGUACCUGCAUUGAUUUAGUCUAAAAACACCCAGUGAACUGAUAGUAGAAACUUGUUUACAGAGAAAAGCGCAAAAGAACAUGUAAAUAUUUGUGAGGGAACAAGCUGGAACUGGAAGGACUCACGUUAGCUUAGUGUGUAUAACUUGCUGAGUGCGUGCUACUAACGUUGCUAUUUCAAAACUUUAACUAGUUGUGUACUAUUUAAUCGGGUAACAAUGCUAGCUAGCUGGCUAACUGUUGUGUUUUAUGAAGUGGUCAAUGUUGCCUGAGCAAAUUAAACACCGGCGAAACGAAAACUUGAAAAUGGACAAUGGCGUGACUGAUCACCAAUCACACGGUGUCGGUGCGUUUGACCAGUACCAUCAGUUCGUUCGAGGAGAAUAAACGAUGCAACAAGGGAAUCACCAUCGCCAAAUCCAAGGGUAAAUUAGAGAUGGUUGUGGGUACCCCGGCCUCCAGUAUGGAACUGCAGCUUUUCAGCACCACCGACAAGUUCAUGCAGAAACUGGACGACAACGAGGCCCUGCUAGGUUCCUACCCUGUGCAUGAUGACUGCAAAAUUAAUGUAUAGUAGAUUUCAAGCCAGGUCAUUGGGUGGGAGUGAAGUGUAACGAGCCUCUUGGGAAACAUGACGGCAGUGUGAAGGAGAAGUGAUACUUUGAUUGUGAGAACAAGUACGGUGUGUUUGUCAGGCCCCUCACAAUGACCGUGGGGCACUUCCCAGAGGAAGACUUUCAUCUGGAUGAGAUGUAGGACUGUGAUGCUGUCACCCUGUCAAAGGGCGUGGGCAGAUGGCUUCAACAUUGACCUCCAGUCUGAUUACGAACCCAGGGUGAGGGACAGUGUCAUUGUGAUUAAUAACUUUAUUUUGUUUUGUGCUGGUCAGGGAGGUAUGGGUUGGACUAUAGAGAGCUGCAACUGGGGAAGGAGGCAGUAUCACCUAGGACCGACUCUAGCGUAUGACAUCUCUUGUGGCGCAGCGGUCUAAGGCACUGCAUCUCCGUGCUAGAGGCGACAGACGCCUCUAGCAAAAAAAAAUAUAAUUGGAAUUUACUGUAUAUUGAAUGAGGAGAGAUGAGAAAAGCACAACGUUUUUGCCUUGUUACAAAUACAUUGUCAAUGUAUUUAAUUUAAAUGAUAACCAUGUGGUCCAACUAUUUCCUUUGAUCCAGUGGAUGUAGAAAGCAAGCGUUCCAAAAUUGAUGUACUCAGAAUUGAGUUGAACCUGAAUUGCCCAUCACAUCCUAGAUUCUAUAUGACUAAUAGGCAGUCAUAAAAAUCACAACAAUGUUCAUCAAAUGUCAAUUAUCAUCCCAAGCCAGGGUUCUAUCAAACUUUUUUAAAUAAAUCCCAUGCUUUGGAAUGCAAGAAUUCAAGCAACAACAAAAUAUCUAUUAGUACUACUGACUAGUGGCAAAAUAUACAGUUUAUUUGAAUAUCUGUUAGUUCAUUGGUUAUUGUACCAUAGAAGCCAUUUGUUUUUGUGUCGUGUGCCUGUUCUAGAUUCUGGAAACUUACAUUGUUUCUAACACUCCAACAUAACCGCAAGGCUCUCCAGAGGGUGGUGCGGUCUGUACAACGCAUCACUGGGGGCAAACUACCUGUCCUCCAGGACACCUACAGCACCCAAUGUCACAGGAAGGCCAAAACGAUCAUCAAGGACAACAACCACCCGAGCCACUGCC